UACGUAGGGCGCAAGCGUUAUCCGGAAUUAUUGGGCGUAAAGAGCUCGUAGGCGGUUUGUCGCGUCUGCCGUGAAAGUCCGGGGCUCAACUCCGGAUCUGCGGUGGGUACGGGCAGACUAGAGUGAUGUAGGGGAGACUGGAAUUCCUGGUGUAGCGGUGAAAUGCGCAGAUAUCAGGAGGAACACCGAUGGCGAAGGCAGGUCUCUGGGCAUUAACUGACGCUGAGGAGCGAAAGCAUGGGGGCGAACAGG
This 252-nucleotide ribosomal RNA is filed under the name uncultured bacterium. Its description in RNAcentral is "partial 16S ribosomal RNA". It matches the Rfam family "Bacterial small subunit ribosomal RNA", at positions 524 to 776 of the family's 1533-position model. The record is from RNAcentral.